UGUAUAUUAUGAACUUUAACUUAAAUAAAGAGAACUAUUCUAGAACAUUUGCCUACCUUUCUUAACAAAGAAACACAUGUUAGUGAGGGAGUGUUUGCUUCCUCACAGAUAGUCUCCAAGAAAGCACCAGGCAGCAGGCUGCUGCUCUCGUGGGUUUACGGAGACAUGCGGUUACUGCUGGAAUCUUCUGAGUGGGCCUCCAUCAUUAUAGCUGACAUGUGAUAUGAAACAGGCAAAAUGAUGUGUACCAGUUUCGGUCUUGUGAAUAGAGAAUGUAAGAUUAAAAGCAUAUUCAGAUACUACUGAUA
This is a long non-coding RNA of Eleginops maclovinus (Patagonian blennie), 308 nucleotides long. RefSeq lists it as uncharacterized. The record is from RefSeq and is a predicted model, not a curated record. NCBI's taxonomy places the organism in Eukaryota, Metazoa, Chordata, Actinopteri, Perciformes, Eleginopidae. The transcript is spliced from 2 exons.